GUCCGUCGCCGGUGACGUCACAAUCGGCGCUCAGCGUCCAUCGUUGAACCAUUCUCCCGUUUGAAACUGGAGUGUCGAAACUUUUCUUUAAGUUGAUUUCACUAAAUUAAGACAAAAAAUAAAUAUAUAUAUAUUUUAUAUCUAUAUAUUUAUAUAGAUAUAGAUAUAUAUAUAUAUUUAUUUAGUUGUAUAGGCAUAUAUAUAUAGGUAAAAGCUGCUAUAAACCAACUUUUGAGACAAAUUCUGUUAAAGGAAAGUAAAAUACACAAGAGAGAAAAUGUCGAAGUCCAUGUGUAUCAUGCGAGUAUUUAUUUUACUGGUCAUGAUGUGUGGUUUUAUGAGCCAAGUCUCCUGUCAAGGAAAUGAGGCAACAACUCUUGGCGGAGACGAUUCCACAUCAACUGGCUCCAGUGACGCUGCUAAUUCUCUACUGAUGGUGUGCAGUACAGGGUUGAUUAUGAUGAACAUCAUUCAGACAUGGCUCAACUGAUCCUGUUUCCCUGGUACUCUUCACUGAAAUUUAAAUAUUUCUAGUUUAUACCUUAUGGAAAAAUUCUAAAUUAUUAAAACAUUUCAAAAUCAAGUA
Molecule: long non-coding RNA, 586 nt
Organism: Octopus sinensis (East Asian common octopus)
Lineage: Eukaryota; Metazoa; Mollusca; Cephalopoda; Octopoda; Octopodidae
Exons: 5
Source: RefSeq, a predicted model, not a curated record